UGCAGGACUCUGUAGUUGGAUACCCCUGCAUUAGGUGAGCUUUUGAGCUGAGGAACAAAUAAGGAGAUGAAUAACUCUACAGUGAACUUCAUCACGUUUGGAGCAUCUACAAACUCCACAACUCUUUACUUUGGGCUAAUGAGAAUUCUGGACAUGUUUAACCUUCUGUUUGGUUUUCCUACACACUCCUACGUUAUAUGGCUCAUCGUCACAGGGACAGGAAGUAGAGUUGCAUCAGAGUUAUUUAUCCUCAAUCUCUCUGUUUGUGAGAUUGUUGUUCUGCUGUUUAGCUGUUCUCGGAGCUCUGAAGCAGUCAGGACCGGGAGAGAGAAAGCGAGAGCGAAAGAGAAGAGCAUUUUAUAUCAUUCUAAUAACUACUGUGAACAUGAUUGUUAUCUAUGUGCCAUUUGUUAUCUCAGGAUUGUUUUUCAUUCUGAGCCAAGAGUAUAUUCCGGAAAUGUUUAUUGUUGGAUUAUUUAGUUUUAUUUUGGCUGGUUUUGUUCAGCCGGUUCUUUAUCUGAACCGGACUGGAAAACUCUCCUGUCUUCACUUUCUAUAAAUCAUUAAGUUGUUUAGCUUUUAGAUCUUAC
Molecule: long non-coding RNA, 590 nt
Organism: Sinocyclocheilus anshuiensis
Lineage: Eukaryota; Metazoa; Chordata; Actinopteri; Cypriniformes; Cyprinidae
Exons: 3
Source: RefSeq, a predicted model, not a curated record